RNAcentral lists this ribosomal RNA (253 nucleotides) under uncultured bacterium. RNAcentral describes it as "partial 16S ribosomal RNA". It matches the Rfam family "Bacterial small subunit ribosomal RNA", at positions 524 to 776 of the family's 1533-position model. The record is from RNAcentral.
UACGAAGGGGGCUAGCGUUGCUCGGAAUCACUGGGCGUAAAGGGUGCGUAGGCGGGUGUUUAAGUCAGGGGUGAAAUCCUGGAGCUCAACUCCAGAACUGCCUUUGAUACUGAGGAUCUUGAGUUCGGGAGAGGUGAGUGGAACUGCGAGUGUAGAGGUGAAAUUCGUAGAUAUUCGCAAGAACACCAGUGGCGAAGGCGGCUCACUGGCCCGAUACUGACGCUGAGGCACGAAAGCGUGGGGAGCAAACAGG